This 396-nucleotide unclassified non-coding RNA is filed under the name Zea mays. RNAcentral describes it as "misc RNA Zm00001eb424830". The record is from RNAcentral. Lineage: Eukaryota; Viridiplantae; Streptophyta; Magnoliopsida; Poales; Poaceae.
CCUCGGCCUUGGGUGGAUCAGCUGCGGAAACAUUUAGCAGCAAUAUCAGAUGCAAUGCCUUGAGAUUAACAAGACAAUUUAUCAGUAACGAACUAAUAAAUAACAUGCUUGACUACACUGAUCAAUUAUCAGUGGAUUCUUUAUUACAGAGUACUAUGCAAAGUUUAGGAUUGGACAUAAACAACCCAAAGUAUACUGCACGAAUCGCAACCGCAAGAGACAGUGACAGAGCACAGCAAAAGUUUUUUCCCCCAAAAAUAUUAGGAAGGUUCAAAAGUCCUGCAGAUAAAAUUAGUGCGCAUCGAAUAUAUGAUGAACGGAUAGAAGUCUAAUCCGUCCUGAAUCCCGAAUGUUAACCCAAAUCCACCAUACCUUCGAGGUAGGAGACCCCAAGGU